GCCUUGAUGGCAGAGUGGUUAUGUACUGGUUUCGGGGGGAAUCAGGCACGCGGGUUCGAGUCCCGUUCAAGGCACAA
RNAcentral lists this transfer RNA (77 nucleotides) under Flavobacterium cerinum. RNAcentral's name for it is "Flavobacterium sp. 1E403 tRNA-OTHER". It matches the Rfam family "tRNA". Rfam says of the family: Transfer RNA (tRNA) molecules are approximately 80 nucleotides in length. Their secondary structure includes four short double-helical elements and three loops (D, anti-codon, and T loops). Lineage: Bacteria; Pseudomonadati; Bacteroidota; Flavobacteriia; Flavobacteriales; Flavobacteriaceae. The record is from RNAcentral.